UGGUGGGCCGCAGAACAUGUGC
This 22-nucleotide microRNA is filed under the name Macaca mulatta (Rhesus monkey). RNAcentral's name for it is "mml-miR-654-5p". Its record names the gene mml-miR-654-5p. RNAcentral also lists the same sequence under 5 other names. Lineage: Eukaryota; Metazoa; Chordata; Mammalia; Primates; Cercopithecidae. The record is from miRBase by way of RNAcentral.